CGGAUGAAGAGAGCUUGCUCUCUGAUUCAGCGGCGGACGGGUGAGUAAUGCCUAGGAAUCUGCCUAUUAGUGGGGGACAACGUUUCGAAAGGAACGCUAAUACCGCAUACGUCCUACGGGAGAAAGCAGGGGACCUUCGGGCCUUGCGCUAAUAGAUGAGCCUAGGUCGGAUUAGCUAGUUGGUGAGGUAAAGGCUCACCAAGGCGACGAUCCGUAACUGGUCUGAGAGGAUGAUCAGUCACACUGGAACUGAGACACGGUCCAGACUCCUACGGGAGGCAGCAGUGGGGAAUAUUGGACAAUGGGCGAAAGCCUGAUCCAGCCAUGCCGCGUGUGUGAAGAAGGUCUUCGGAUUGUAAAGCACUUUAAGUUGGGAGGAAGGGCAGUAAGUUAAUACCUUGCUGUUUUGACGUUACCGACAGAAUAAGCACCGGCUAACUUCGUGCCAGCAGCCGCGGUAAUACGAAGGGUGCAAGCGUUAAUCGGAAUUACUGGGCGUAAAGCGCGCGUAGGUGGUUCGUUAAGUUGGAUGUGAAAGCCCCGGGCUCAACCUGGGAACUGCAUCCAAAACUGGCGAGCUAGAGUAUGGCAGAGGGUGGUGGAAUUUCCUGUGUAGCGGUGAAAUGCGUAGAUAUAGGAAGGAACACCAGUGGCGAAGGCGACCACCUGGGCUAAUACUGACACUGAGGUGCGAAAGC
Molecule: ribosomal RNA, 698 nt
Filed under: uncultured Pseudomonadales bacterium
Lineage: Bacteria; Pseudomonadati; Pseudomonadota; Gammaproteobacteria; Pseudomonadales
Description: bacterial SSU rRNA
Rfam family: Bacterial small subunit ribosomal RNA
Source: RNAcentral